Molecule: ribosomal RNA, 276 nt
Filed under: uncultured bacterium
Lineage: Bacteria
Description: partial 16S ribosomal RNA
Rfam family: Bacterial small subunit ribosomal RNA
Source: RNAcentral
CAAACUGGAGAUGGCGACCGGCGCACGGGUGAGUAACACGUAUCCAACCUGCCGAUAACUCGGGGAUAGCCUUUCGAAAGAAAGAUUAAUACCCGAUGGCAUAAUAGAACCGCAUGGUUUGACUAUUAAAGAAUUUCGGUUAUCGAUGGGGAUGCGUUCCAUUAGGCAGUUGGUGGGGUAACGGCCCACCAAACCUUCGAUGGAUAGGGGUUCUGAGAGGAAGGUCCCCCACAUUGGAACUGAGACACGGUCCAAACUCCUACGGGAGGCAGCAUG